ACAACGAAGAGUUUGAUCCUGGCUCAGGAUGGACGCUAGCGACAGGCCUAACACAUGCAAGUCGAGCGGCAGCACCUCGGGUGGCGAGCGGCGCACGGGUGAGUAACGCGUAUGUAACCUGCCCAUGAGUGGGGGAUAGCCCGGUGAAAACCGGAUUAAUACCCCAUGACACCAAUGUCUGACAUCAUUUAUUGGUUAAAGAUUCAUUGCUCAUGGAUGGACAUGCGUUGGAUUAGCUUGUUGGCGGGGCAACGGCCCACCAAGGCGACGAUCCA
RNAcentral lists this ribosomal RNA (275 nucleotides) under Bacteroidales bacterium. Its description in RNAcentral is "partial 16S ribosomal RNA". It matches the Rfam family "Bacterial small subunit ribosomal RNA", at positions 1 to 283 of the family's 1533-position model. The record is from RNAcentral. Lineage: Bacteria; Pseudomonadati; Bacteroidota; Bacteroidia; Bacteroidales.